This 519-nucleotide ribosomal RNA is filed under the name Providencia rettgeri. RNAcentral's name for it is "bacterial SSU rRNA". It matches the Rfam family "Bacterial small subunit ribosomal RNA", at positions 1014 to 1533 of the family's 1533-position model. The record is from RNAcentral. Lineage: Bacteria; Pseudomonadati; Pseudomonadota; Gammaproteobacteria; Enterobacterales; Morganellaceae. RNAcentral also lists the same sequence under 1 other name.
GUGCCUUCGGGAACUCUGAGACAGGUGCUGCAUGGCUGUCGUCAGCUCGUGUUGUGAAAUGUUGGGUUAAGUCCCGCAACGAGCGCAACCCUUAUCCUUUGUUGCCAGCGACUCGGUCGGGAACUCAAAGGAGACUGCCGGUGAUAAACCGGAGGAAGGUGGGGAUGACGUCAAGUCAUCAUGGCCCUUACGAGUAGGGCUACACACGUGCUACAAUGGCGUAUACAAAGAGAAGCGACCUCGCGAGAGCAAGCGGAACUCAUAAAGUACGUCGUAGUCCGGAUUGGAGUCUGCAACUCGACUCCAUGAAGUCGGAAUCGCUAGUAAUCGUAGAUCAGAAUGCUACGGUGAAUACGUUCCCGGGCCUUGUACACACCGCCCGUCACACCAUGGGAGUGGGUUGCAAAAGAAGUAGGUAGCUUAACCUUCGGGAGGGCGCUUACCACUUUGUGAUUCAUGACUGGGGUGAAGUCGUAACAAGGUAACCGUAGGGGAACCUGCGGUUGGAUCACCUCCUUA